RNAcentral lists this ribosomal RNA (461 nucleotides) under uncultured bacterium. Its description in RNAcentral is "partial 16S ribosomal RNA". It matches the Rfam family "Bacterial small subunit ribosomal RNA", at positions 338 to 795 of the family's 1533-position model. The record is from RNAcentral.
CCUACGGGUGGCAGCAGUGAGGAAUAUUGGUCAAUGGGCUUAAGCCUGAACCAGCCAAGUCGCGUGAGGGAAGACUGCCCUAUGGGUUGUAAACCUCUUUUGUCAGGGAGCAACGCAGGCUACGUGUAGCCGGACCGAGAGUACCUGAAGAAAAAGCAUCGGCUAACUCCGUGCCAGCAGCCGCGGUAAUACGGAGGAUGCGAGCGUUAUCCGGAUUUAUUGGGUUUAAAGGGAGCGUAGGUGGGAUGUUAAGUCAGUUGUGAAAGUUUGCGGCUCAACCGUAAAAGUGCAAUUGAUACUGGCAGUCUUGAGUACAGGUGAGGUAUGCGGAAUUCGUGGUGUAGCGGUGAAAUGCUUAGAUAUCACGAAGAACCCCGAUUGCGAAGGCAGCUUACUAGACUGUGACUGACACUGAUGCUCGAAAGUGUGGGUAUCAAACAGGAUUAGAUACCCCAGUAGUC